RNAcentral lists this ribosomal RNA (497 nucleotides) under uncultured bacterium. RNAcentral's name for it is "partial 16S ribosomal RNA". It matches the Rfam family "Bacterial small subunit ribosomal RNA", at positions 28 to 507 of the family's 1533-position model. The record is from RNAcentral.
GAUGAACGCUGGCGGCGUGCCUAAUACAUGCAAGUCGAGCGAACAGACGAGGAGCUUGCUCCUCUGACGUUAGCGGCGGACGGGUGUGUAACACGUGGAUAACCUACCUAUAAGACUGGGAUAACUUCGGGAAACCGGAGCUAAUACCGGAUAAUAUAUUGAACCGCAUGGUUCAAUAGUGAAAGACGGUUUUGCUGUCACUUAUAGAUGGAUCCGCGCCGCAUUAGCUAGUUGGUAAGGUAACGGCUUACCAAGGCAACGAUGCGUAGCCGACCUGAGAGGGUGAUCGGCCACACUGGAACUGAGACACGGUCCAGACUCCUACGGGAGGCAGCAGUAGGGAAUCUUCCGCAAUGGGCGAAAGCCUGACGGAGCAACGCCGCGUGAGUGAUGAAGGUCUUCGGAUCGUAAAACUCUGUUAUUAGGGAAGAACAAAUGUGUAAGUAACUAUGCACGUCUUGACGGUACCUAAUCAGAAAGCCACGGCUAACUACGUG